Molecule: small RNA, 74 nt
Filed under: chicken gut metagenome
Description: RAGATH-18 RNA
Rfam family: RAGATH-18 RNA
About the family: Actinobacteria, Firmicutes, Fusobacteria, Thermotogae (1 example). Nearby to self-cleaving ribozyme genes
Source: RNAcentral
CUGUGGAGUGUACAAGAACUUGUGAGUAGUAUCUGGAUUUAUCCAGUACGAAAGCAUACACGACGAAGCAGUAA